RNAcentral lists this non-coding RNA (179 nucleotides) under Nitrosomonas sp. Its description in RNAcentral is "6S RNA". It matches the Rfam family "6S / SsrS RNA". Rfam says of the family: E. coli 6S RNA was the first non coding RNA to be sequenced, but its function was unknown until recently. The record is from RNAcentral. Lineage: Bacteria; Pseudomonadati; Pseudomonadota; Betaproteobacteria; Nitrosomonadales; Nitrosomonadaceae.
UAAUCCCUGCGAUGUACGUUAAGGCUUAUAUUCUUUGAACCAAUUCAUCAAAAAUGGUUGUGGAUUAUAGCGAUACUGUUGUGCGCUCCCUUUAAUGGAAGUGCCUGAUGUGUCCAUGAAACAACCGCCUUGAACCUUAUGGUUCAAGAUGAUGAUCUGCAGGCAUAUGUGGGGAGCUU